Molecule: ribosomal RNA, 495 nt
Filed under: uncultured bacterium
Lineage: Bacteria
Description: partial 16S ribosomal RNA
Rfam family: Bacterial small subunit ribosomal RNA
Source: RNAcentral
GACGAACGCUGGCGACGUGCCUAAUACAUGCAAGUAGAACGCUGAAGGAGGAGCUUGCUUCUCUGGAUGAGUUGCGAACGGGUGAGUAACGCGUAGGUAACCUGCCUGGUAGCGGGGGAUAACUAUUGGAAACGAUAGCUAAUACCGCAUAAGAGUAGAUGUUGCAUGACAUUUGCUUAAAAGGUGCAAUUGCAUCACUACCAGAUGGACCUGCGUUGUAUUAGCUAGUUGGUGGGGUAACGGCUUACCAAGGCGACGAUACAUAGCCGACCUGAGAGGGUGAUCGGCCACACUGGGACUGAGACACGGCCCAGACUCCUACGGGAGGCAGCAGUAGGGAAUCUUCGGCAAUGGACGGAAGUCUGACCGAGCAACGCCGCGUGAGUGAAGAAGGUUUUCGGAUCGUAAAGCUCUGUUGUAAGAGAAGAACGAGUGUGAGAGUGGAAAGUUCACACUGUGACGGUAUCUUACCAGAAAGGGACGGCUAACUACGUG